AACGAACGCUGGCGGCAGGCUUAACACAUGCAAGUCGAACGCAUGCCUUCGGGCAUGAGUGGCAGACGGGUGAGUAACGCGUGGGAACCUACCCCUUGGUACGGGAUAGCUCCGGGAAACUGGAGAUAAUACCGUAUGUGUCCUGAGGGACAAAGAUUCAUCGCCAAGGGAUGGGCCCGCGUCGGAUUAGCUAGUUGGUGGGGUAACGGCCUACCAAGGCGACGAUCCGUAGCUGGUCUAAGAGGAUGAUCAGCCACAUUGGGACUGAGACACGGCCCAAACUCCUACGGGAGGCAGCAGUGGGGAAUAGUGGACAAUGGGCGCAAGCCUGAUCCAGCCAUGCCGCGUGAGUGAUGAAGGCCAUAGGGUUGUAAAGCUCUUUCACCGGUGACGAUAAUGACGGUAACCGGAGAAGAAGCCCCGGCUAACUUCGUG
This 435-nucleotide ribosomal RNA is filed under the name uncultured bacterium. RNAcentral describes it as "partial 16S ribosomal RNA". It matches the Rfam family "Bacterial small subunit ribosomal RNA", at positions 29 to 507 of the family's 1533-position model. The record is from RNAcentral.